Molecule: transfer RNA, 82 nt
Filed under: Myxococcales bacterium
Lineage: Bacteria; Pseudomonadati; Myxococcota; Myxococcia; Myxococcales
Also listed under: 1 other name
Description: tRNA-Leu
Rfam family: tRNA
About the family: Transfer RNA (tRNA) molecules are approximately 80 nucleotides in length. Their secondary structure includes four short double-helical elements and three loops (D, anti-codon, and T loops). Further hydrogen bonds mediate the characteristic L-shaped molecular structure. tRNAs have two regions of fundamental functional importance: the anti-codon, which is responsible for specific mRNA codon recognition, and the 3' end, to which the tRNAs corresponding amino acid is attached (by aminoacyl-tRNA synthetases). tRNAs cope with the degeneracy of the genetic code in two manners: having more than one tRNA (with a specific anti-codon) for a particular amino acid; and 'wobble' base-pairing, i.e. permitting non-standard base-pairing at the 3rd anti-codon position.
Source: RNAcentral
GGCCCCGUGGCGGAAUUGGCAGACGCAGCGGGCUUAAAACCUGCCGCCGCAAGGCGUCCCGGUUCGAACCCGGGCGGGGCUA